Molecule: ribosomal RNA, 497 nt
Filed under: uncultured bacterium
Lineage: Bacteria
Description: partial 16S ribosomal RNA
Rfam family: Bacterial small subunit ribosomal RNA
Source: RNAcentral
GAUGAACGCUGGCGGCGUGCCUAAUACAUGCAAGUCGAGCGAACAGACGAGGAGCUUGCUCCUCUGACGUUAGCGGCGGACGGGUGAGUAACACGUGGAUAACCUACCUAUAAGACUGGGAUAACUUCGGGAAACCGGAGCUAAUACCGGAUAACAUGUUGAACCGCAUGGUUCAACAGUGAAAGACGGUCUUGCUGUCACUUAUAGAUGGAUCCGCGCCGCAUUAGCUAGUUGGUGAGGUAACGGCUUACCAAGGCAACGAUGCGUAGCCGACCUGAGAGGGUGAUCGGCCACACUGGAACUGAGACACGGUCCAGACUCCUACGGGAGGCAGCAGUAGGGAAUCUUCCGCAAUGGGCGAAAGCCUGACGGAGCAACGCCGCGUGAGUGAAGAAGGACUUCGGAUCGUAAAACUCUGUUAUUAGGGAAGAACAAAUGUGUAAGUAACUAUGCACGUCUUGACGGUACCUAAUCAGAAAGCCACGGCUAACUACGUG